CAACCCUCAAGCUCUGCUUGGUAUUGGGUGCCGCCCCUCACGGGGCGCGCCUUAAAGACAGUGGCGGUGCCGCCCGGCUCCAAGCGUAGUAAUUCUUCUCGCUCUGGAGGACCGGCCGCGUGCCCGCCAGAACCCCCAAUUUUUUCA
This 147-nucleotide unclassified non-coding RNA is filed under the name uncultured Ascomycota. Its description in RNAcentral is "sequence contains ITS2". Lineage: Eukaryota; Fungi; Ascomycota. The record is from RNAcentral.